GACGAACGCUGGCGGCGUGCUUAACACAUGCAAGUCGAACGGAAAGGCCCUGCUUUUGUGGGGUGCUCGAGUGGCGAACGGGUGAGUAACACGUGAGUAACCUGCCCUUGACUUUGGGAUAACUUCAGGAAACUGGGGCUAAUACCGGAUAGGAGCUCCUGCUGCAUGGUGGGGGUUGGAAAGUUUCGGCGGUUGGGGAUGGACUCGCGGCUUAUCAGCUUGUUGGUGGGGUAGUGGCUUACCAAGGCUUUGACGGGUAGCCGGCCUGAGAGGGUGACCGGGCAACAUGGGGAUGGAAAACGGCCCCGACCCCCGCGGGGGGCCGGCGGGGGGGAUUUUUCCAAAGGGGGCGGAGCCUGAAUGCAGCACGCCGGCGGGGGGGAGGAGGGCUUUGGGUUUGAAACCCUUUUCCCCCUGGGAGGAAGGGGGGGGACGGUAAAGGGAUAAAGAGGCCCGGGCAAACUCGGUC
This 469-nucleotide ribosomal RNA is filed under the name uncultured bacterium. Its description in RNAcentral is "partial 16S ribosomal RNA". It matches the Rfam family "Bacterial small subunit ribosomal RNA", at positions 28 to 507 of the family's 1533-position model. The record is from RNAcentral.